UACGAAGGGGGCUAGCGUUGCUCGGAAUUACUGGGCGUAAAGCGCACGUAGGCGGGUCGUUAAGUCGGGGGUGAAAUCCUGGAGCUCAACUCCAGAACUGCCUUCGAAACUGACGAUCUUGAGUUCGGGAGAGGUGAGUGGAACUGCGAGUGUAGAGGUGAAAUUCGUAGAUAUUCGCAAGAACACCAGUGGCGAAGGCGGCUCACUGGCCCGAUACUGACGCUGAGGUGCGAAAGCGUGGGGAGCAAACAGG
Molecule: ribosomal RNA, 253 nt
Filed under: uncultured bacterium
Lineage: Bacteria
Description: partial 16S ribosomal RNA
Rfam family: Bacterial small subunit ribosomal RNA
Source: RNAcentral